Molecule: ribosomal RNA, 327 nt
Filed under: uncultured eukaryote
Lineage: Eukaryota
Description: partial 18S ribosomal RNA
Rfam family: Eukaryotic small subunit ribosomal RNA
Source: RNAcentral
CCCUUAGAUGUUCUGGGCCGCACGCGCGCUACACUGACGAAUGCAACGAGCUUAUAACCUUGGCCGAAAGGUCUGGGUAAUCUCCAAAUUUCGUCGUGAUGGGGAUAGAUUAUUGCAAUUAUUAAUCUUCAACGAGGAAUGCCUAGUAAGCGCAAGUCAUCAGCUUGCGUUCAUUACGUCCCUGCCCUUUGUACACACCGCCCGUCGCUCCUACCGAUUGAAUGGUCCGGUGAAGCGUUCGGACCGUGGCCUUUGGACGGUUCGCCGUCUGUUGGCUGCGGGAAGUUCGUUAAACCUUAUCAUUUAGAGGAAGGAGAAGUCGUAACA